RNAcentral lists this ribosomal RNA (355 nucleotides) under uncultured bacterium. RNAcentral's name for it is "bacterial SSU rRNA". It matches the Rfam family "Bacterial small subunit ribosomal RNA", at positions 8 to 353 of the family's 1533-position model. The record is from RNAcentral.
AGAGUUUGAUCAUGGCUCAGGAUGAACGCUAGCUACAGGCUUAACACAUGCAAGUCGAGGGGAAACGACAUCGAAAGCUGCUUUUGAUGGGCGUCGACCGGCGUACGGGUGAGUAACGCGUANCCAACCUGCCCACCAUUUGGGGAUAACCUUGCGAAAGUAAGACUAAUACCCAAUGAUAUCUCUAGAAGACAUCUGAAAGAGAUUAAAGAUUUAUCGGUGAUGGAUGGGGAUGCGUCUGAUUAGCUUGUUGGCGGGGUAACGGCCCACCAAGGCAACGAUCAGUAGGGGUUCUGAGAGGAAGGUCCCCCACAUUGGAACUGAGACACGGUCCAAACUCCUACGGGAGGCAGCA